This 253-nucleotide ribosomal RNA is filed under the name uncultured bacterium. RNAcentral's name for it is "partial 16S ribosomal RNA". It matches the Rfam family "Bacterial small subunit ribosomal RNA", at positions 524 to 776 of the family's 1533-position model. The record is from RNAcentral.
UACGUAGGUGGCAAGCGUUGUCCGGAUUUACUGGGCGUAAAGCGCACGUAGGCGGUUCGUUAUGUCGGAUGUGAAAGCCCUUGGCUUAACCGAGGAAGUGCAUCCGAAACUGGCGAGCUAGAGUACUAAAGAGGAUCGCGGAAUUCCCGGUGUAGAGGUGAAAUUCGUAGAUAUCGGGAGGAACACCGGUGGCGAAGGCGGCGAUCUGGGUAGAUACUGACGCUGAGGUGCGAAAGCGUGGGGAGCAAACAGG